UGAAGAUGUAGUUCAGUGACAGCAUGCUUGCCUACCAUGCAAUGAGCCCUGGGUUCAAUCCCCAGCACUGCAA
This 73-nucleotide transfer RNA is filed under the name Marmota monax (woodchuck). Its description in RNAcentral is "tRNA.Gly". Lineage: Eukaryota; Metazoa; Chordata; Mammalia; Rodentia; Sciuridae. The record is from RNAcentral.